Molecule: transfer RNA, 55 nt
Filed under: Octoblepharum arthrocormoides
Lineage: Eukaryota; Viridiplantae; Streptophyta; Bryopsida; Dicranales; Calymperaceae
Description: partial tRNA-Leu
Source: RNAcentral
ACUUAAAAUCCGUUGGCUUUAUUAAACCGUGAGGGUUCAAGUCCCUCUACCCCCA